Molecule: ribosomal RNA, 326 nt
Filed under: uncultured eukaryote
Lineage: Eukaryota
Description: partial 18S ribosomal RNA
Rfam family: Eukaryotic small subunit ribosomal RNA
Source: RNAcentral
CCCUUAGAUGUUCUGGGCCGCACGCGCGCUACACUGAUGCAUUCAACGAGCCUAUCCUUGACCGACAGGUCCGGGUAAUCUUUGAAUCUGCAUCGUGACGGGGAUAGAUUAUUGCAAUUAUUAAUCUUCAACGAGGAAUGCCUAGUAGGCGCAAGUCAUCAGCUUGCAUUGAUUACGUCCCUGCCCUUUGUACACACCGCCCGUCGCUCCUACCGAUUGAAUGAUCCGAUGAAUAUCAUGGAUUGAGGAUGUAAGCAGGUUCGCCUGUCUUCAUCUUCGAGAAGUGAAGUAAAUCUUAUCAUUUAGAGGAAGGAGAAGUCGUAACA